GAUCCCCAUGAGGAAGCAGCACAGACCAGGGGUGCCGUGGUGGAGGCAGCUCCUGCGCACUGGGUGCUGGCAGCUCCUGUCCCUCUCCAGGACGGCUCUGCAGGGGCUGCAGUGGCUCUGGAGGCUGCUGUGGUACCUUCUGAUCUGCUCCACGAGCUGCUGGGACAUCGCCUUCCAGUUUGCUGAGGAGCUGCUGAGCGUGGACCAUGGCACUGAGGGCAGUGAGGAAGAGGAGGACGGGACAGCUGCUGCCGCACUGGAGCCCGGGCAGACAGUGCUGGAGCUGCAGCAGCUGCGUGAUGCCAAUGAGGCCGCGCUGGGGAGGUUGGAGGCGCUGGAGGCCGACGUCCGCUUCCUCUGCACUGAGCUGGGGGCUGAGAAACUGCUGUGGAGCAGUCGGUUCCUGGAGCUGCUGCGGGAGCAGCAAGGGCUGCGGCAGCGGCUCCUGCAGAGGGACAGCAGAGACAGCCCUGAGCUGCCCGGAGAAGCCGAGGAGCUGAAUGGGAAUGAGGGAGAGGAUCCUGCAGGUAGAGCUGGGGACAUGGGGUUGCAGCAGGGGACCAGGGAGCUGGUGUUUGAGGACAGGGCACCCAGCCCCUGCACCCCUCCAAAGGACUCCACUGGAUGGAGCAGCACUGACAGCCCAUCCCAUGCCCAGGCAGCUUCCAGUAGCCCAUGGCUCUGUCCCAGGCAAGAGCUCAUCAUCUCACAGCGCUCAGUGCCAGCCCUGUCCUGUCCUGCCCAGCCCAUUUAG
Molecule: long non-coding RNA, 754 nt
Filed under: Numida meleagris (helmeted guineafowl)
Lineage: Eukaryota; Metazoa; Chordata; Aves; Galliformes; Numididae
Description: lncRNA (ENSNMEG00000006278.1)
Source: RNAcentral